CCUACGGGAGGCUGCAGUGAGGAAUAUUGGUCAAUGGACGCAAGUCUGAACCAGCCAUGCCGCGUGAAGGAAGACGGCUCUAUGAGUUGUAAACUGCUUUUGUACGGGGGUAAACGCAGAUAUGUGUAUCUGUUUGAAAGUAUCGUACGAAUAAGGAUCGGCUAACUCCGUGCCAGCAGCCGCGGUAAUACGGAGGAUUCAAGCGUUAUCCGGAUUUAUUGGGUUUAAAGGGUGCGUAGGCGGUCGGAUAAGUUAGAGGUGAAAGCCCGAGGCUCAACCUCGGAAUUGCCUCUGAAACUGUUCGGCUAGAGAGUGGUUGCGGUAGGCGGAAUGUAUGGUGUAGCGGUGAAAUGCUUAGAGAUCAUGCAGAACACCGAUUGCGAAGGCAGCUUACCAGGCUACUACUGACGUUGAGGCACGAAAGCGUGGGGAGCAAACAGGAUUAGAUACCCUUGUAGUC
RNAcentral lists this ribosomal RNA (460 nucleotides) under uncultured bacterium. Its description in RNAcentral is "partial 16S ribosomal RNA". It matches the Rfam family "Bacterial small subunit ribosomal RNA", at positions 338 to 795 of the family's 1533-position model. The record is from RNAcentral.